GACGAACGCUGGCGGCGUGCCUAAUACAUGCAAGUUGAGCGAUGAAGAUUGGUGCUUGCACCAAUUUGAAGAGCAGCGAACGGGUGAGUAACGCGUGGGGAAUCUGCCUUUGAGCGGGGGACAACAUUUGGAAACGAAUGCUAAUACCGCAUAACAACUUUAAACAUAAGUUUUAAGUUUGAAAGAUGCAAUUGCAUCACUCAAAGAUGAUCCCGCGUUGUAUUAGCUAGUUGGUGAGGUAAAGGCUCACCAAGGCGAUGAUACAUAGCCGACCUGAGAGGGUGAUCGGCCACAUUGGGACUGAGACACGGCCCAAACUCCUACGGGAGGGAGCAGUAGGGAAUCUUCGGCAAUGGACGAAAGUCUGACCGAGCAACGCCGCGGGAGUGAAGAAGGGUUUCGGAUCGUAAAACUCUGUUGGUAGGGAAGAACGUUGGUGAGAGUGGAAAGCUCAUCAAGUGACGGUAACUACCCAGAAAGGGACGGCUAACUACGUG
Molecule: ribosomal RNA, 497 nt
Filed under: uncultured bacterium
Lineage: Bacteria
Description: partial 16S ribosomal RNA
Rfam family: Bacterial small subunit ribosomal RNA
Source: RNAcentral